Molecule: non-coding RNA, 108 nt
Organism: Clostridium sp. KLE 1755
Lineage: Bacteria; Bacillati; Bacillota; Clostridia; Eubacteriales; Clostridiaceae
Source: Rfam
CAUAUUUUUCAGGGGAGCUUGUGGAGCAGGCUGAGAGGAAGUAAUCCAACUUCGACCCUUAAACCUGAUUUGGGUAAUGCCAACGUAGGAAGAAGUUGCACAGCUUAC